Long non-coding RNA from Gavialis gangeticus (Gharial), 251 nucleotides. RefSeq lists it as uncharacterized. The transcript has 3 exons. The record is from RefSeq and is a predicted model, not a curated record. NCBI's taxonomy places the organism in Eukaryota, Metazoa, Chordata, Crocodylia, Gavialidae.
GCUAGGGUGGGUGGUUCUGGGAAGAUCUCUUUAAUAGGGUCUCCUUCUAGUAUGGGUUGCAACUGUUUGAGGGUUUUCUAUAUGGGUUCAAGGGAGGAGUGUUAUGUUAUAACCAGCAGUGUGCUAUUCAUGGUUUUUUUUCUUUUGUACUGAAGCAAUUCUUCACGUGGUAGCUGGGUGGCUCUUUCAAACAUGCGAUCUGUCUCUCUGGAGGAUUGGCCUUGUUGAAUGAAAGCCUUUUGAAGAUUAAU